This 301-nucleotide ribosomal RNA is filed under the name uncultured bacterium. RNAcentral describes it as "partial 16S ribosomal RNA". It matches the Rfam family "Bacterial small subunit ribosomal RNA", at positions 509 to 807 of the family's 1533-position model. The record is from RNAcentral.
CAGUCGCCGCGGUAAUACAGAGGGUGCAAGCGUUAAUCGGAAUUACUGGGCGUAAAGCGCGCGUAGGUGGUUUGUUAAGUUGGAUGUGAAAUCCCCGUGCUCAACCUGGGAACUGCAUCCAAAACUGGCAAGCUAGAGUAUGGUAGAGGGUGGUGGAAUUUCCUGUGUAGCGGUGAAAUGCGUAGAUAUAGGAAGGAACACCAGUGGCGAAGGCGACCACCUGGACUGAUACUGACACUGAGGUGCGAAAUCGUGGGGAGCAAACAGGAUUAGAUACCCCUGUAGUCCCUGUCUCUUAUAC